Molecule: non-coding RNA, 704 nt
Organism: Cherax quadricarinatus
Lineage: Eukaryota; Metazoa; Arthropoda; Malacostraca; Decapoda; Parastacidae
Source: RefSeq, a predicted model, not a curated record
AAAGUUCCAUAGGACAGAUAUGGCAUACAAAGGGGUCCCAGCAUGGCCAUUAUGGAAUGGCUGAGCUGGGUGGCCCUUGCACCCACCCAUAAACAAAAAUGCAUUCUCUCCCGGUUUGGCGUGCUUGGAUGGGGAACAUGCGUGUUUUGUAGAGUUCGCCCAUUAAUAGGCGAAGAAAUAAAGAUCAAUAAGAAGUCGGAAAUUAUUCAUCAUAUGGACUUCCGUAAUGGGCGAACUCUUCAGAUCUGCAAGAAUGCAAAUCAAAAUGGAAGCACAAACAAAAGGAGCGAGUUCACUUUUGAUCAGGUUUACGGGCCAACUGGAACACAAGCACAAAUAUUUGAAGAAGUAUCACAUCUGUCAGUCUGUCCUAGACAGAUAAAACACAUGUGUAUUUGCUUAUGGGCAGACAGGCUAGGGGAAAGACCUACACAAUGGAAGGUGUACUUCAAAACAAAGAGCAGAAGGGCAUGAUUCCUCAGACGAAGUAAAUCUUCUCCACAAUAAACGGGCUGAAGGACGAGGUUGAAGUGGCAGAUGAAGUUAGUGUUUUUCAUCUGCUUCAUGAAGCCCAAAAACGAAGAACUGUGGCAGAAACCAAAAUGAAUGACGGUCAUCUCGCUCGCAUUCCGUUUUCGCUCUUAAACUCUCCGCAACAAAUAGCAAAACUUUUGAAUCUUGUGAAUAUAAGAGUUCUUUAAUUA